CCGGCCUGAGAGGGCGACCGGCCACACUGGGACUGAGACACGGCCCAGACUCCUACGGGAGGCAGCAGUGGGGAAUAUUGCACAAUGGGCGGAAGCCUGAUGCAGCGACGCCGCGUGAGGGAUGACGGCCUUCGGGUUGUAAACCUCUUUCAGCAGGGACGAAGCGUAAGUGACGGUACCUGCAGAAGAAGCGCCGGCCAACUACGUGCCAGCAGCCGCGGUAAGACGUAGGGCGCGAGCGUUGUCCGGAUUUAUUGGGCGUAAAGAGCUCGUAGGCGGCUUGUCGCGUCGACCGUGAAAACUUGGGGCUCAACCCCAAGCCUGCGGUCGAUACGGGCAGGCUAGAGUUCGGUAGGGGAGACUGGAAUUCCUGGUGUAGCGGUGAAAUGCGCAGAUAUCAGGAGGAACACCGGUGGCGAAGGCGGGUCUCUGGGCCGAUACUGACGCUGAGGAGCGAAAGCGUGGGGAGCGAACAGGAUUAGAUACCCUGGUAGUCCACGCUGUAAACGUUGGGCGCUAGGUGUGGGGGGCCUCUCCGGUUCCCUGUGCCGCAGCUAACGCAUUAAGCGC
This 570-nucleotide ribosomal RNA is filed under the name Micromonospora aurantiaca (nom. illeg.). Its description in RNAcentral is "bacterial SSU rRNA". It matches the Rfam family "Bacterial small subunit ribosomal RNA", at positions 287 to 867 of the family's 1533-position model. The record is from RNAcentral. Lineage: Bacteria; Bacillati; Actinomycetota; Actinomycetes; Micromonosporales; Micromonosporaceae.